Molecule: transfer RNA, 61 nt
Filed under: Cyanoptyche gloeocystis
Lineage: Eukaryota; Glaucocystophyceae
Rfam family: tRNA
About the family: Transfer RNA (tRNA) molecules are approximately 80 nucleotides in length. Their secondary structure includes four short double-helical elements and three loops (D, anti-codon, and T loops).
Source: RNAcentral
GUGCGUAGCUCAGUGGUAGAGCAUCUGGCUUUUAACCAAAUGGUCUUGGGUUCAAUCCCCA